UUAGGAAUCUUCCACAAUGGGCGAAAGCCUGAUGGAGCGACGCAGCGUGAGGGAUGAAGGCCUUAGGGUUGUAAACCUCUAAAAGAGGGACGAUAAUGACGGUACCUCUUGAAUAGCACCGGCUAACUCCGUGCCAGCAGCCGCGGUAAUACGGAGGGUGCAAGCGUUAUCCGGAAUCACUGGGCGUAAAGGGCGCGUAGGCGGUCUGUUAAGUCCGAUGUUAAAUCCCGGGGCUCAACCCCGGAUAAGCGUUGGUUACUGGCAGGCUAGACGGUUGGAGAGGCGAGUGGAAUUACCAGUGUAGCGGUGGAAUGCGUAGAUACUGAUAGGAACACCCAUUGCGAAGGCAGCUCGCUGGACAACACGUGACGCUGAGGCGCGAAAGUGUGGGGAGCAAACC
RNAcentral lists this ribosomal RNA (400 nucleotides) under uncultured bacterium. RNAcentral describes it as "bacterial SSU rRNA". It matches the Rfam family "Bacterial small subunit ribosomal RNA", at positions 355 to 774 of the family's 1533-position model. The record is from RNAcentral.